GGGCAAUUGGUCUAGGGGUAUGAUUUUCGCUUCGCAUUCCAUAGAUGCGCCUUUGUGAAAGGUCACCGGUUCGAAUCCGGUAUUGUCCA
Neurospora crassa OR74A is the source of this 89-nucleotide transfer RNA. It matches the Rfam family "tRNA". Rfam says of the family: Transfer RNA (tRNA) molecules are approximately 80 nucleotides in length. Their secondary structure includes four short double-helical elements and three loops (D, anti-codon, and T loops). Lineage: Eukaryota; Fungi; Ascomycota; Sordariomycetes; Sordariales; Sordariaceae. The record is from Rfam.